UCCAGACCCUGGUGGCUGUGAGGGCUUCUGAUGGUGUCAGGGCAGGCCUGGCAGCCAGGGCUUGUCCCAGUGCUGCAGCCAGGAGCAGGACAGCCAUAGGCAGCCCCAGGCCUGGGCAUCGGCACCUCCCUCGGCACAGGAACAGUAGAUUUCAGGCUAAAGGAUUUGUUGAAGUGCGGAUGGGGGAGAGCCAAGCCCUUGCCUGGCUUAAUUCACAGUGAGGAAUCAAGACUACUUAAUGUAGUUUGGAGACAUAAAUACAUGCAGAAAAUGUUCUGUUUCUUCAUAUUCAUGUUUGCCUCAUCUCUUCUUGUUCUAACGAGAUAUUACAUACAGAGACAUAAGAACUGCCCUACUGAGCUGAAACCAAAUAACUGAAUGAAGAAAUUGUGCACCAUUAUGGAUCUUUGUAGCAAAGUAUCCAGCACAGGAGAUACCACAAGCUGCAGAUCUUCACUAUAGUGGGAGCCAAAGAUUAUGGAUGAAUGCAGAUCGGAAAUAGGACAGCUGUAAAGAUCUUCUGUGUUAUGUUGGGUUACUGAAGGUUGGAUGGAUUGUUACAUUUUUUAAGGUGUUUGACAUAAGUAGUGAUCUGAUUAAUUAUGAAAGGAACAUUAAAAAUGAAAAAGGAGAAAGAUUAUAAACUAAAAGGAGGAAUUUGAGAAAGUUAAUGAAGGAAGCAAAAGGAAAUGACAAAAUUUAUGUGCAGCAGAUUUCAGAAAUCUGGAAAUAAAAAUGUAGGAGCUUUCA
RNAcentral lists this long non-coding RNA (750 nucleotides) under Phasianus colchicus (ring-necked pheasant). RNAcentral's name for it is "lncRNA (ENSPCLG00000021287.1)". The record is from RNAcentral. Lineage: Eukaryota; Metazoa; Chordata; Aves; Galliformes; Phasianidae.